CAAUAGCGUAUAUUUAAGUUGUUGCAGUUAAAAAGCUCGUAGUUGGAUUUCGGAUGGGACUUGCCGGUCCGUCGUUUCGAUGUGCACUGGCCAGUCCUAUCUUGUUGUCGGGGACUAGCUCCUGGGCUUCACUGUCCGGGACUAGGAGCUGACGAGGUUACUUUGAGUAAAUUAGAGUGUUCAAAGCAAGCCUACGCUCUGAAUACAUUAGCAUGGAAUAACACGAUAGGACUCUGGCUUAUCUUGUUGGUCUGUGAGACCAGAGUAAUGAUUAAGAGGGACAGUCGGGGGCAUUCGUAUUUCAUUGUCAGAGGUGAAAUUCUUGGAUUUAUGAAAGACGAACUUCUGCGAAAGCAUUUGGCAAGGAUGUUUUCAUUAA
Molecule: ribosomal RNA, 379 nt
Filed under: uncultured eukaryote
Lineage: Eukaryota
Description: partial 18S ribosomal RNA
Rfam family: Eukaryotic small subunit ribosomal RNA
Source: RNAcentral